UGAUAAUGCUGGGAUGUGAUGGGGAGCGAAAUUUAGUAGCGAAGUAGCUGAUUUCACACUGUCAAGAAAAGUCUCUAUCGAGGUUAAAGGUACCCGUACCGCAAACCGACACAGGUGGGUGAGGAGAGUAUCCUAAGGCCCGCGAGAGAACUGUUGUUAAGGAACUCGGCAAAAUGACCCCGUAACUUAGGGAUAAGGGGUGCCACCAUCCGGUGGCCGCAGAGAAUAGGCCCAAGCGACUGUUUACCAAAAACAUAGGUUUCUGCUAAGUCGCAAGACGAUGUAUAGGAGCUGACGCCUGCCCGGUGCUGGAAGGUUAAGGGGAUCUGUUAGAGCAAUCGAAGCAGUGA
RNAcentral lists this ribosomal RNA (350 nucleotides) under Clostridioides difficile. RNAcentral describes it as "partial 23S ribosomal RNA". It matches the Rfam family "Bacterial large subunit ribosomal RNA", at positions 1548 to 1910 of the family's 2925-position model. The record is from RNAcentral. Lineage: Bacteria; Bacillati; Bacillota; Clostridia; Peptostreptococcales; Peptostreptococcaceae.